Gallus gallus (chicken) is the source of this 6768-nucleotide long non-coding RNA. RefSeq lists it as uncharacterized. Lineage: Eukaryota; Metazoa; Chordata; Aves; Galliformes; Phasianidae. The record is from RefSeq and is a predicted model, not a curated record. The transcript is spliced from 6 exons.
UGAGUAAAUAAUUUAUUAUCUCACCUAAAUCUCCCCUCUUUUAGUUUAAAGCCAUUUCCCCUUGUCAUAUCAGUAUCAGACCAUGUAAAAAGUUAGUCCCCCUCCUGCCACAAUGAGGUCUCUCCACAUCCAUCUCUUCCCCAAGCUAAGCAAGUCCAGCUCCCUCAACCUUUCUUCAUAGGAGAGGCAUUCUAGCCCUUUGAUCAUCUUUGUGGCACCCUUCUUGUCCUGAAAUAGCAAGUCAGUGACAGAAUAUAGCAGUGUGUUGUUACAUGACAUGGCAAAGGGUUUUGACUCCUCGAGUCUCUUUCCCCCUAGACAGGAAGAAAAUAAUAAUACAAACAAGCAAACAAAUAAAUAAAUUGAGGUGUCCAUAGGACUUCGGGAUGCUUAGGUAUGUCAGCUGGAGUUUACACUCCAAAAGCCAGCUGAAAUUUCUCACAUGGACCUGACUGAAAUAGGAGAAGAGAGAACAGAGAACUGGGAAGAGGAAGGAAACAAGGAGAAAAUACACGAAGUACGAGAAAAGUAAAAGGAGAGCAUGUGGACAGCAAAGGAACUGCCCAGUUGGGAGGUAUCCAUAGACAUCUAUCUCUAAAACUUUGACUCAUGCCAAAUGGAUACUCCUGUGAGACUACCCACAGAAAUUUACGUGGCCCAUAAAAAUUACUGCCUACUAGCUUGUAUAGUGCUUUGUGAAAAUACAUCUGCAAGAGGCUCCUGGCAGCCUAAAAGCAGGAUUGGAGAAACCACAAAAUCCACAAGCAUGUUACGUGAUCAGCAUUGCUGUGUUUGCAUGGGAUUCCCCAGUUAUGAAAAGGCAACAUUAAGAAGACAAAAGGAGUGCUGAACUGUAGCAGUAAAACAUUCAAAUGGCAAUUAUGUCCUAGAGGAGAGAUGAAGUAGAAGAUGACCUUAUAAACAUCUUUAAAAUAAUGGUAUAGGGGAACUAAAGUAAUUUAUUUUUAAGCAAAAACAGGGGAUGUUUCAUGAAGUUGGAAGGCGGAACUCUUAAUCACAAAAAAAUAAAAAAAGGGGUUCAUGGUUACUGUGUGAAAAUUAUUCCCAUGUGCUAUCACUUGGUCCAAGACCUUUGCAAGACUUGAAAAACCAUUGGCCAUAUAAAUGCAUAACAUGAGCAUCCAUCAUUGUGUUACUUAAUGAUUUAAAGUAAAAAAUUGUAAGGUAUGUGAAAGCUCACAGCAAGAGCUUUCCAAUAGUCCAAACUAUAAUAUAAUUCUCCUUCUGGUGUUCCCACACCUUCUUCUGAAUCACCUGCAAAUGGUUAGGAUAUUCCAACAGCAGGAACAGUAGUCUGACACGUUAUAGCACUGUUACACUUGUGUGUUCCUGACCCUGAACAGCUGUGCUUCAUAACUGGAAGGUAUUUAAUUCAGUUUUGAAACUGUACUCUUCUCCAUCUGUCUCUGAGUCUCUAAAGGCCCAUUUAUACCAUUGAAACUCUAUCCUAAAGGGAUGAGGAGUGGCACAAAUGACCCUGGACCUACUGCAAUUGUAUAACGUGGAUGAGAACAAAACCGCUUUCAGGUAUUUUAUAGAAAGUUUGUUUGCGAUUUUGAUUCAACGUUUCUGCUCUCUGCUCUAAACUCUCAAUCACUGAUUGCUUAAUUAGUGCUCUCAGUAACUGAGUCAGACAGUAUUUGAAAACAAACAAACCUGCAAAUCACAUACUAUGUUGAAAUGCUAUUACACUUGCUAGACUGUCUCCUGUUUCUCAGAAUUUCAAAGAGAUAAGCCGGGUAAGGAAUAUCAUCUAGAAGAAUAGCCUCUUCCCCGAUGAACAGUAGCCAACUACUCCUGCAAGUUAGAAGCAAUCCUCUGAGUACCAACAAACUUCUUGUAUUUACAUAUUCCACUUCGAUUUCUUUAUCUUCUGCAGAGCAAAUUAUAAGGCGUUUUUUCAUGUCCAAGUGAGUGUGGCAAGAAAGAAUGUUUCUGUAGCUGGUCUCUCUUUGCACCUCCUGAUUUAAAAUGCUUCUCCUGACCUCAUAAAAUGUCCCAUAUUCUUUUAUUCAUGGCCAUUUUAAACUCUGUUUCCCUUGGAUUAAACAGUACCCCUAUUGUUAACCCACAGCACCUGCCACAUAGGCCCCACAGCUUUUCAUGCUAGCUAAAUUAAUGAAAAGGCUGGGGUUAUUCACUUCAAGGCUUUUAAAUCUCAUUAAAAAACCAGGGGAGAAACAGCAGAUAGUACUGUGGUGAGUAAUACCACAAGUAUCAAUCAUUUGUUUUAUUUGCAGAGGUCAUUAUUCAGGCUGUCCAGUCCAAAAGGAAAUCUCUUUCAUCCAAGCUGUAUGUCUGAGACACAUUUGCUGUACAGAUGUUUCCUAGAACAGCCUGAAAUGAAUAAAUGUCAGAAAAUAUUUUAGAUGGAGCAAAUAAUAAAAGACAUCAUUUGGGUGAAGGAAACCUGCCAUGUAAUGGCAAAGACUGCAUACUGAACAGAGUAUGACAAGGGAAAACAGUUAGGCCUCUUCAAGACUGUGCUAUUUUUCACUUGGAAGUUUAUUUUUGGCUGGUCGAUUGCUCUGUUCUGUAUGAUACCUGUCAAUUCUACAUCAUUCUGUUUUCUUUAUCUAUCACAGCUUGGACACCUUCAAUAUUGUUUUCAAGCAUUAUAAAUCUAGCCAUAGUUUUAAGUAAGCUGAGGUGUGUACUAUCUUGACUAGAAGUUCUCCUUCUUUGGAAAAGUCAUUUGUGCACAGAAAGGGUAAGGCUGGUCUGCAGAUGAUGAAGAACUUUAUAUGAGACAUUUGUAGAAAGUUCAGAUUUUUUCCAUGUGCUCAUUCACACCUUUUGGCCUAAAUAUUUAUACAUAACACAUUUUGUGUCCAUGUGUGUUAUACCAUGAACGUAUAGUAACAUGUUCUAAAUCAGAAACAGAAUAAAAGCUUUACCAAAAUAACGCACAUACCACUGCAACAGACUUCUUCACCCAUGGUCAGAUAAUGAGUGAACAAACACCACAUGACAGAUGUUAGUCAUACCGCUUAAUGAAUAACUGGUGAUGAGUACAAUACCUGUGUAGAAUAGCCAUAAUGUGUUCAAUAAAAUAUACACAUUUGGACCGUCUGUUUUUUUUUUGCAGAGGUAUCCACAGUGCUCAAAAUAAAUGACUUCAUCAGAAAGUCGAGAUAGUUCAACAUUAUUUUUUUUUGUAUUUUCUUGACUGCCAUGUUUUUCAGCCAUCCACAACAGUCAUGGGGUCUUUGAAACUGAAUGAUGAAACCCUAUUUCCUUCAAAGUAUUUUAUAAAGAAAGACUCUAGCCUUCACUUUUUACUUCACCAUGACCUGAAUCUUGCAGCUGAAUGCUGGUAGUACUGAGUACUUAUGAUAGACCUUGACUUUGACACUUGUGCAUGUGAUCAGGGCAGUUCAGAAUACAGCUGCCCCAAAAAACACAGCUUGGACAAUAUUGGCCCUGAACUGGGUUUAUCUUCAUGAUACCUGCAGCACAUUAGUAUUCUAGAUGGUGUGCUGGAGGCUGUUUGAGCACCAUGGCAACAGAAUCAGUGAAUAAUCCAACAAUCUGUUACGUUGUUAUGUAAAACAUUGCUGCUGAGUCUUAUUCUGGUGUGAUUAAAAAAGAGUUAAAUCCUAUUUGUGUACAGUAAUACGUUUGAAUGCCUGCACAUUUCACUGAAAUUUGCAUGCCAAACCAGUUUAAAUUAACUUGCAUCAGUCUUGUGUCACAGCGCAAAAAAGCUUCUCCAGUGCAAUGGAGAAGGUGACAGUAAGACCAGAGAAGAGAAUUCAAGGAGCUGCCAGCCUCCCCCUGUCUCCAAGCGGGGUUGUGUAGCAGCACGUCUGUGUGCAAUGGGAGCCCUUGUAUGGCACCAGGCAGUUUCCACAUCCACAUCGGGCUCCCUUCCAUGCCUACCUCAUGUUUUGUUUGUCUACCUUACAACUCAGUUUAAUAAGCUGUUCCCACCUACUUCUUCCUAUUAUAGAAACAAUGUUACCACAUGAAUUUUAGCAGAAGAAGAGUGGUUGACGGCUUUUCUUUUUUUAUCCCUCUUGGAGAUAACAAAUAAAAACAGGUAAACAUCCCAAAAGCAUUGAAAGGAGCACAUUCUUACAAUUUAUGCUGUUGGUCCAAAUCCUGCAGCAACAUCUUGUUAGGUUAGUCUAGGUAUUAGUUGGGGAAAAAAAAAAAACCAAAACAACAGCCUUUGAAUGAACAAGCGAGAGGGUCAGUUGUGUACUGUUAAAUAAGUAUAUAUUUGAGAUUUUUUUCUGUAUGGACAUUAGUUGCUUUUGUGCAUGAUAUUCUGGAAUGAAAGAAGUGUAAUGACCCAUGCUGUCUCCAGGCAUGUACUUCUUCCUUUGAGAAGAAGCCAUAGUCUACUUCUGCAACCUCUUUGUGAUCCUUCCUCUAUUAUGUGUGGAAAAAAGAAGACAGCAAAGGCUGAGACAUACAGCUGUCCUGCAUAAGAAGUGCUUACAAGUUGUUUAACUUACUGUUAUACCCUCCCAGACCAUUACCAGGAGAGAUAUAAAGAGUGUUUGGAGGGAAUUUGAAUUUCAGUGUUUGUUGCCUUCCGAUGGCAUAAAGACCUAGUGCAGAAGUAGCAAGAAAUGUAGGUCACCAGCAGAGAUGACUCUAGGGAGGCAACAUAGCACAAGAAUGCCUGAAUUAGAACAACAGAGUAACCUCCACCUGAUUCUAGUGCUUUAGUCUACAACCAGAUUGUUGUUAGUUCUGUAAGCAUAAAAGCUGCCUGCAAGCUCUAAAUUACUGUGGGCCCGGUAUUAAGGUGAGUGUCAUGCUCUUGCCUCUUAGUGGCUUUGCAGGAAUGUAUGUUGGGGAUCGUAGUCAAUUACAAGAUAAUGAAGUGGUAAAGGAAGUUAGACACUGGAGGUUUUCCUCAUUUUGUAGCAGUUUAGCACUACUCUGUUCUUUCUGUCCAGUGACUUGUUGGUCUCGGAGCAGGACAAAGUCCAAGGAAACUGGGAAAGCAGUGGAAAGAAUGGGAGCAAAUUAAAGCUGGCCACACUGGUGUUGUGUGACAGCAGUGUUCCCUUCAGGAGCUCAUGGGGAAUUCCUGGUGACUCAAAUCAGAACAAAAACAGGAGCAAUGGGAUGUGGGAGAGGGUGCAGGAAUUAGAGUUGUAGAGACUCUACAGGAAUUAGAGUUGAGGGUAGGGAGAGAGAGUGCGAAUAGGCAACCUGAGAAUCUGCUAAGUUUGUGAAAAUCUUUAUGGAAGUUGGUGGGGAAGGUGGAGAAGAGAGUGGUGCUGAAAGAGACUGUGACCCCAUCAAGAUGAAACAAGGUGGUUCUCUGUAAGGGCAUCCAAAUGGGGAGAAACACCCAUAUCUGCUUCUUUAACUUAAGAGGACCAUCUGGGCCAGACGGAAGUCUCCCGUGUGUAUUGCAUUCCCAACAAGGGUUAUAGAACCUAAUGGUUAGCAGGCUGUUAGAGAUUUCGUAACUCAUUUCCUCUGUAUAUUAAUUAUUUAUUUUGCUGGAUAGAGAAGCAGAAUAACAGAAGAGGAAGAAAUAAAAACUACGUGGUGCUAUUCAGUUAUUUAAAAAGGCUGAGUCAGUAAGGAGAUGGGUGUAGAUGGCACUACUUCAGUCAGAACAGAAAAUUCAAUGCAUUCCUAGCAAGUGUUAACUUUUUUUUUUUUUUUUUUUUUUUUUUUUUUUUGAACUAUUGAGCCAUAAGAACAAUGGGACAAAUCUACAAAUACUUGCACAGGGAAGGAGGAGCAGUGCAUUUUGCCCAAAUGAAGGUUGCACCGGCAAUGUAUCAAGAAGCCUGAAGCGCUUAAUUUUCACAGGGGAAAUCUGAUUAUAGCAGCCCAUAUUUGAGUACAGAAAUGUGUCAUGCAGAAACUACAGCACCAAUGCUGCUUCCAAGUAUAAUAUUUACGCCAUUUGCUUUACGUGGAUGGAAACAGAAACCAGAACAUGAAAGGAACCCAAAAUAAGGAGGCACUCUAUUGUGCCAUGCAUCAAGCAGGUUGUCCCAGUGCAGAAGAGCAUGAUAAAAAGGAUCAAAACCUGUCACAACUAGAGAGAUUGGAAGGACUGCUAUUUUUGCAGAUUGAAGGCACAUGAAUUGUACAGGAGAAAGGACUAGAACACGUCAGAAAUUUUGCCUUUAAAUUUAUGUUCUUGCAAAUACAAGGGAGGAAAAGAAGCAUUUGAUAUAUUUACAGCCCUUAUACAGGGUAUGUUUGAUAUGGAUCAGAAGUACACCAAGAUUCACAUUUGUCUGAAGCAUAGACGACGGAAGUUACAGUCCAAGAGUUUGAUAUUUUAUUUCUGUGAAACAAACCCUUUAUUAUCACUAACCCUUGGUUUGUGCACUUGUGUCCUGUGUUGACACUCACUGUGAUGGGAAAGAAUGAAGCAGAAAAAUGAUGCAACUCAUUUAAAGAAGGCUUGGCAGUGCCAGACACAGAAACUAGAUCUGAUACCCAAGCCACUGCCUUAACUUUGCUGUCAUUGCCCUUUCAACUUCAUGCUAUGCAAUAAGCAUUCAAGCUGCGUACACAUACAAAGAAAAUCUUCACUUGCUUUUAAAAAAAAGAUGCCUAAACUAAUAGGUUCAUAGCUGGACACCAAGUGUGCCAAAUAUUCAGGACAUCUUUAUGCAUGAAAUUUUAUGACAGCAGUGCAUCGUUUGACUUUUUUUUUCCUUUUUUAAUAAGAACUUCUAUUUAGGUAUGCUAUGUAGAAGUAUUGCAGAAAAGAAAAAUGUUUUGUGAAAAGAAAAAUAAACUGCUCCUGUUUCA